RNAcentral lists this long non-coding RNA (532 nucleotides) under Anser brachyrhynchus (Pink-footed goose). RNAcentral's name for it is "lncRNA (ENSABRG00000009744.1)". The record is from RNAcentral. Lineage: Eukaryota; Metazoa; Chordata; Aves; Anseriformes; Anatidae.
GUUACCUGCUCAUGGUCUUCAGAGGUUAAGCUGUGAGACAACCAUUAUCCUUAGCCCAGAGCUAUCAUCUCCUAUGGGAUAUGGAAGCACAUCUGAUGGCCUGGAACUAUGAGGUUUUCUUCUGUGAACCUUGUAAAACCAACCUACAACCUAAUAGGAAAGGGGUUGGAAGCCAUCAUUCCUUAUCUCCAGAAGCCUGAGUUCUGAUAGAUGCAUAUAGGAACUCUUCUGUUCAUCUGCAUCACAGGGGCACAGGGAUCCCUUCCACCACCCUGGCAGACAAAAGCAAGGCAAGAACCCAUCCUGCCACCCUUGCCCAUGCAGAAAAAGAUUUCACUACUGCCAGCCGUUCCUAUAUCUGCGCCUCCCGCAGCUGAUGCCAUGAUGUCUCUGCUUCCAACCGGCUCCCCCCUUCCCUGCUCAGGCUUGUCAGGAGAGGGAAAGGAAGGUGCUCGGAAAUUCCCUUUGAAAUCGUGCCUGUGAGGCAUGGGUUUAUCAAAGCAAUGAAGCUGUGUGCGAGCACGCAUGUGAG